Molecule: small nuclear RNA, 146 nt
Organism: Pteropus vampyrus (large flying fox)
Lineage: Eukaryota; Metazoa; Chordata; Mammalia; Chiroptera; Pteropodidae
Gene: U4
Rfam family: U4 spliceosomal RNA
About the family: U4 small nuclear RNA (U4 snRNA) is a component of the major U2-dependent spliceosome. The structure of U4 snRNA from yeast and human has been reported. U4 snRNA presents a k-turn RNA motif in the 5p-SL related to recognition of Snu13 protein.
Source: Ensembl
AGUUUUGUGCAGUGGCAGUAUCGUAGCCAAUGAGGUUUCUCCGAGGCACGCUUAUUGCUAAUUAAAUUACACUUGCAGAUUUUAAUAAUUCCACCAGUGAGUACUUUCUACUUUACUAUGGAAAUAAUUUCCAGGUUUUUAUUGAC